Long non-coding RNA from Musca domestica (house fly), 866 nucleotides. RefSeq lists it as uncharacterized. The record is from RefSeq and is a predicted model, not a curated record. The transcript has 3 exons. NCBI's taxonomy places the organism in Eukaryota, Metazoa, Arthropoda, Insecta, Diptera, Muscidae.
UUCAAAAUUGUAAUAUCAAUACAAAAUGAAAAUUUUCAAAUUGUUUAUUAAUUCAAAAGGUUGAAGAAAGAUAUACAGGAAUCAAUUUUGGAAAAUGUUAUAUAAUGUACUCCUUUAAAUUGGAGAGAAAGAGCCUAUAUCGACCAUCAAUCCUUGGGAGAAUCAGUGUAACGUGGUGCAAAUAAACCCAAAAUAUCCUCAAAAUUUCUCCAGUCCCAGAUAAAUAAAAAUUAAGCCAAGAUCACCAGGCUAAAUAACAGAGGAAUUCAAAUGCAUAAGAUGGAUGAUAUAUGAAAUCUGUCAUUCCGUUUGCAUCACCUUGAAAAAUAUUAUAUCAUAUCAGCGACCCACAUCAUAAAGAACACAUAUCCACCAUUGGCAUACAAUUCUAAGUCUGCUUUUUAACUAUGCCCGUCCAUCCUUCUGUUGAAAUCCAUCGAUUUUAAAGUACAGUGAUUUAAAUGUCUGAACUGAACUAUCCAGUUCUCGAAACCUAGAAAAUAAUGCAAGUUCAUUCUAGCAUACAACAGAAAGAAGGAUGUUGUUAAAUCAACAAUAAAAAACAUGAAUAUUUUAAAGAAGUUAGGUUCCGAAGGAAUGGGCCAAUAUUGUCCAUUUCCUAUCGGACCCACAUAAAUACCAUAUUAAUAUUAUGACGUGUCAAGUUUGGACUAUAUUGGUUAUUCCCAUCACUUUAUAUAAGAUAUGUCAUAAUUUUUAGAAAAUGUUGAAAUGCGCGUUUGGUGCCAGAUAUAGUCGAUCGAAAUAUUCCAUUUUUAUACUUUAUCUAAUACAGAUAAAAUAUUGGCAUGGUCGAACAUUUGUAUCCAAUUUCAUGCCAAUUAAUAAAUUCCAUAUUCAUCUCA